UGAGGUUGGUACUUGUACCGACUGGAUGAGCAGCGAACGGGUGAGUAACGCGUGGGGAAUCUGCCUUUGAGCGGGGGACAACAUUUGGAAACGAAUGCUAAUACCGCAUAAAAACUUUAAACACAAGUUUUAAGUUUGAAAGAUGCAAUUGCAUCACUCAAAGAUGAUCCCGCGUUGUAUUAGCUAGUUGGUGAGGUAAAGGCUCACCAAGGAGAUGAUACAUAGCCGACCUGAGAGGGUGAUCGGCCACAUUGGGACUGAGACACGGCCCAAACUCCUACGGGAGGCAGCAGUAGGGAAUCUUCGGCAAUGGACGAAAGUCUGACCGAGCAACGCCGCGUGAGUGAAGAAGGUUUUCGGAUCGUAAAACUCUGUUGGUAGAGAAGAACGUUGGUGAGAGUGGAAAGCUCAUCAAGUGACGGUAACUACCCAGAAAGGGACGGCUAACUACGUGCCAGCAGCCGCGGUAAUACGUAGGUCCCGAGCGUUGUCCGGAUUUAUUGGGCGUAAAGCGAGCGCAGGUGGUUUAUUAAGUCUGGUGUAAAAGGCAGUGGCUCAACCAUUGUAUGCAUUGGAAACUGGUAGACUUGAGUGCAGGAGAGGAGAGUGGAAUUCCAUG
This 619-nucleotide ribosomal RNA is filed under the name Lactococcus lactis. RNAcentral's name for it is "bacterial SSU rRNA". It matches the Rfam family "Bacterial small subunit ribosomal RNA", at positions 68 to 673 of the family's 1533-position model. The record is from RNAcentral. Lineage: Bacteria; Bacillati; Bacillota; Bacilli; Lactobacillales; Streptococcaceae.